RNAcentral lists this ribosomal RNA (409 nucleotides) under Actinomycetes bacterium. Its description in RNAcentral is "Actinobacteria bacterium partial 16S ribosomal RNA". It matches the Rfam family "Bacterial small subunit ribosomal RNA", at positions 355 to 776 of the family's 1533-position model. The record is from RNAcentral. Lineage: Bacteria; Bacillati; Actinomycetota; Actinomycetes.
UGGGGAAUAUUGCACAAUGGGCGGAAGCCUGAUGCAGCGACGCCGCGUGGGGGAUGAAGGCCUUCGGGUUGUAAACUCCUUUCGACAGGGACGAAGCUUCUGUGACGGUACCUGUAUAAGAAGCACCGGCUAACUACGUGCCAGCAGCCGCGGUAAUACGUAGGGUGCGAGCGUUGUCCGGAAUUACUGGGCGUAAAGAGCUCGUAGGUGGUUUGUCGCGUCGUCUGUGAAAUUCCGGGGCUUAACUCCGGGCGUGCAGGCGAUACGGGCUGACUUGAGUGCUGUAGGGGAGACUGGAAUUCCUGGUGUAGCGGUGAAAUGCGCAGAUAUCAGGAGGAACACCGAUGGCGAAGGCAGGUCUCUGGGCAGUAACUGACGCUGAGGAGCGAAAGCAUGGGUAGCGAACAGG